RNAcentral lists this long non-coding RNA (1564 nucleotides) under Canis lupus familiaris (dog). Its description in RNAcentral is "lncRNA (ENSCAFG00805023087.1, ENSCAFG00845022626.1)". Lineage: Eukaryota; Metazoa; Chordata; Mammalia; Carnivora; Canidae. The record is from RNAcentral.
CCUUCCUCCACCUUCCAGCAAACCUGUCCACCUCUACCUUGCCCCAAGGCCACUCCUCUUCUCAUUCUCUCCUCUUUAAUCAAAACUCUUUCCUUCAGGACUGCGAUGUUCUAUACAUGCUCAGAGAAAGGUAUCAUCAGUUUCCUCAUCAGCCAACUGAAAGAGUGAAUGAAAAGCUCCUCAAUGCACUAGAUACCCAAGAGGUCUUGAUAAACCUUCCUGAUUUCCCCCACUUGUCUCUAAAAGAAGUUCAAAGUGGAGACUUGAACCUUGAAACUUACCCAUGUAUCACGUUUGAUAUCCUGAAGAGAUACGGUCUUUUAAUAAAUAAAUAUGCCUUGCAUCAUCAAGUGCCUAGCAACUUUCAAAGCACUCAAGCAGUACACAAUGACAUACAUUUGAAGCAACUAAAAACAAGAGAGAACUUGAGAAAACUUCAACCCACUGGGAGGACCCAGAGCACCAGUCUCCCCUGUUGUCCUGGGAUAAUAAUCGACAGUGAUUUCUGCUGUCGUCUGUAGAGUCAUAGAGGGAAAAGGAGUCUCUCAAGUUAUCAGCCCGUCCCUCAUUUGGUGAGGACACAGCUGUUUCCUCAAGGUCAUGUUGGUUAGUCUCAAGCUCUCUAUGUCUAGUCUUGCCACCUCUGUCAUCAUUUUGCAUAUAUUGCUUAUUCUGAGUCCUUUUGUAUGAAUUUAUAUCUCUAACACUAGAAUUGUUGCAGCUAAAGACAGUCAUAGACUUUUGUGCAGAUUUUAAAUUAUUUUGGUGGAAAAAGAAAGUGUUAUUCAAAAAUACUUGUUAAAUGAAUGUAUGAAAGUUCUUUCAGCUUUCAUUUCAUGUUAUCUUGUGAUCUCAUCAAAUUCUUCCCCCAUUUAACAAGCAGGAGGAGGAAAUAGAAACCCUCAUGUAUUAUCAGGUUCUCAGCCUACAUGUAGUCCAUAUGGUUCAUAAUCACACUUGGAAUGAAGUAUUUCUAUUUCCAAAUGUUUAUAGAUACAUUAAAAUGAGUGUUGUUUGAUUUCAACAGAGCUGACAACAACUUAUCCAAUGCUGCAUGAUUUGGUGAUUCCUGAAGACAAGAGCAAGGGAGGUCAUGCAGAAUUGUGAGCUAAGCUGAGCUUGUAUCUCUUGCUCUCUCUACAUAAUAUACCUUUAACUGCUCAAACUACAAAAAAAAAAUAUUUAUUCUCAUCUAAUCUGAAGGAAUGCACAACUUUAAAUCUCUUACACCAGCCAAGAACAAAUGCAUUUUUCAAGAUACAUCUUUACUGUAGUCUCAUAGUUCUGUUUCCAAAAAAACCAAUAAACAAAAAUCUCUUAUUCAUUUGCAAAAUGCUUGAAAAUCAGUAAUCUCUCCCAGUAGAAUUAGCUUACUUUAUAGUGAAGGUGCUAAAGACAGUUUGAGACAUACUAUGGAAUUUUAUAUAAUUCACAUUCGAUUCAAUUGUUGAAUCCAGUGAGCCACGCUGUGUUCCUAAUGUUCAAAUAGAUGUCCAAAUCUCUCUUUGGACCAAAAUAAACCAAAUGGUUGCAUCCGAAAUAGCUGUUUUGUUAAAAACCAGAG